Molecule: ribosomal RNA, 396 nt
Filed under: uncultured bacterium
Lineage: Bacteria
Description: bacterial SSU rRNA
Rfam family: Bacterial small subunit ribosomal RNA
Source: RNAcentral
GAAUUUUGCCCAAUGGACGAAAGUCUGAGGCAGCAACUCCGCGUGAAUGAUGAAGGCCUUAGGGUUGUAAAGUUCUUUCACCGGAGAAGAUAAUGACGGUAUCCGGAGAAGAAGCCCCGGCUAACUUCGUGCCAGCAGCCGCGGUAAUACGAAGGGGGCUAGCGUUGUUCGGAAUUACUGGGCGUAAAGCGCACGUAGGCGGACAUUUAAGUCAGGGGUGAAAUCCCGGAGCUCAACUCCGGAACUGCCUUUGAUACUGGGUGUCUUGAGUGUGGAAGAGGUCAGUGGAAUUGCGAGUGUAGAGGUGAAAUUCGUAGAUAUUCGCAGGAACACCAGUGGCGAAGGCGGCUGACUGGUCCACAACUGACGCUGAGGUGCGAAAGCGUGGGGAGCAAA